This 446-nucleotide ribosomal RNA is filed under the name uncultured bacterium. RNAcentral's name for it is "partial 16S ribosomal RNA". It matches the Rfam family "Bacterial small subunit ribosomal RNA", at positions 338 to 795 of the family's 1533-position model. The record is from RNAcentral.
CCUACGUGGGGCAGCAGUCAAGAAUAUUUCACAAUGGGCGAAACCCUGAUCCUGCGAAGCCGCGUGGGGGAAUGAAGUUCUUCGGAUUGUAAACCUCUGUCAUGUGGGAGCAAAUUAAAAAGAUAGUACCACAAGAGGAAGAGCCGGCUAACUCUGUGCCAGCAGCCGCGGUCAUACAGAGGUCUCAAGCGUUGUUCGGAAUCACUGGGCUUAAAGCGUGCGUAGGCUGUUUCGUACGUCGGGUGUGAAAGGCGCGGGCUCAACCCGCGGACGGCACAUGAUACUGCGAGACUAGAGUAAUGGAGGGGGAAGCGGAAUGCGCGGUGUAGCAGUGAAAUGCGUAGAUAUCGAGAGGAACACUCGUGGCGAAGGCGGGUUCCUGGACAUUAACUGACGCUGAGGCACGAAGGCCAGGGGAGCGAAAGGGAUUAGAUACCCUUGUAGUC